GCUGACAGCGCGGGAGAGACCUGCCGAUUCGCAUUUGCGAAGAAGCAGGCGCCGAAGGAGCAACCGCCCCGGAAUCUCUCAGGCAAAAGGACCGCGCAGCGUCG
RNAcentral lists this non-coding RNA (104 nucleotides) under Novosphingobium sp. ST904. RNAcentral's name for it is "Glycine riboswitch aptamer". It matches the Rfam family "Glycine riboswitch aptamer". Rfam says of the family: This family represents the bacterial glycine riboswitch. Glycine riboswitches usually consist of two metabolite-binding aptamers domains with similar structures in tandem. The aptamers cooperatively bind glycine to regulate the expression of downstream genes. RNAcentral also lists the same sequence under 1 other name. Lineage: Bacteria; Pseudomonadati; Pseudomonadota; Alphaproteobacteria; Sphingomonadales; Sphingomonadaceae. The record is from Rfam by way of RNAcentral.